RNAcentral lists this ribosomal RNA (253 nucleotides) under uncultured bacterium. Its description in RNAcentral is "partial 16S ribosomal RNA". It matches the Rfam family "Bacterial small subunit ribosomal RNA", at positions 524 to 776 of the family's 1533-position model. RNAcentral also lists the same sequence under 1 other name. The record is from RNAcentral.
GACAGAGGUGGCAAGCGUUGCUCGGAGUUACUGGGCAUAAAGGGCGCGUAGGCGGUCGUGCACGUCAGGGGUGAAAUCCCCGGGCUUAACCCGGGAACUGCCUUUGAUACGGCGCGACUCGAGUGCGGGAGGGGAGAGUGGAACUCCUGGUGGAGCGGUGAAAUGCGUAGAUAUCAGGAGGAACGCCGGUGGCGAAAGCGACUCUCUGGUCCGCAACUGACGCUGAGGCGCGAAAGCUAGGGGAGCAAACGGG